AACGAACGCUGGCGGCAUGCCUAACACAUGCAAGUCGAACGAGACCUUCAGGUCUAGUGGCGCACGGGUGCGUAACGCGUGGGAACCUGCACUUAGGUUCGGAAUAACUCCACGAAAGGGGUGAUAAUACCGGAUCAUGUCUUCGACCCAAGGAUUUAUCGCCUUUGGUUGGGCCAGAGUUGGAUACGCUCGUUGGUAGGGUAAUAGCCUACCACGGCGUCGAUCCAUAGCUGGGCUGAGAGGAUGAUCAGCGACACUGGGACUGAGACACGGCCCAGACUCCUACGCGAGGGAGCAGUGGGGAAUAGUGGACAACGGGCGAAAGCCUGAACGAGCAAGGCCGCGUGAGUGAUGAAGGCCGGAGGGUAGUAAAGCGCUUGUACCCGGGAUGAUAAUGACAGUACCGGGAGAAUAAGCCCCGGCUAACUCCGUG
Molecule: ribosomal RNA, 433 nt
Filed under: uncultured bacterium
Lineage: Bacteria
Description: partial 16S ribosomal RNA
Rfam family: Bacterial small subunit ribosomal RNA
Source: RNAcentral